Molecule: ribosomal RNA, 254 nt
Filed under: uncultured prokaryote
Description: partial 16S ribosomal RNA
Rfam family: Bacterial small subunit ribosomal RNA
Source: RNAcentral
ACGGGGGGAGCAAGCGUUGUUCGGAUUUACUGGGCGUAAAGGGCGCGUAGGCGGUCAUGACAAGUCACUUGUGAAAUCUCCGGGCUUAACUCGGAACGGUCAACUGAUACUGCUCGGCUAGAGUGCGGAAGGGGCAACUGGAAUUCUUGGUGUAGCGGUGAAAUGCGUAGAUAUCAAGAGGAACACCUGCGGCGAAGGCGGGUUGCUGGGCCGACACUGACGCUGAAGCGCGAAAGCUAGGGGAGCGAACGGGA